Molecule: transfer RNA, 87 nt
Filed under: Reinekea thalattae
Lineage: Bacteria; Pseudomonadati; Pseudomonadota; Gammaproteobacteria; Oceanospirillales; Saccharospirillaceae
Description: Reinekea sp. SSH23 tRNA-Leu
Rfam family: tRNA
About the family: Transfer RNA (tRNA) molecules are approximately 80 nucleotides in length. Their secondary structure includes four short double-helical elements and three loops (D, anti-codon, and T loops).
Source: RNAcentral
GCCGACGUGGUGAAAUUGGUAGACACGCCACCUUGAGGGGGUGGUGGGCGCAAGCCCGUGCUAGUUCGAAUCUAGUCGUCGGCACCA